This 700-nucleotide ribosomal RNA is filed under the name uncultured bacterium. Its description in RNAcentral is "bacterial SSU rRNA". It matches the Rfam family "Bacterial small subunit ribosomal RNA", at positions 1 to 651 of the family's 1533-position model. The record is from RNAcentral.
GGGGUUUGCUACGCGCCUGCUCCCCGGCCGCCUUGGCGGCCGCGCGGAUUCUAUUAGAGUUUGAUCCUGGCUCACGAUGAUUACAGGCGGCGUGCUUACACAUGCAAGUCGAACGGGGCGCCUGGGAGGAAUCCCUUCGGGGAGGAGACCCCGCGGCCUAGUGGCGGACGGGUGAGUAACGCGUGGGCAACCUGCCCCAUACCGGGGGAUAACAGCCGGAAACGGCUGCUAACACCGCAUAAGCGCUGGGGGCCGCAUGGCACCCGGCGGAAAACUCCGGUGGUAUGGGAUGGGCCCGCGUCUGAUUAGGCAGUUGGCGGGGCAGCGGCCCACCAAACCGACGAUCAGUAGCCGGCCUGAGAGGGCGGCCGGCCACAUUGGGACUGAGACACGGCCCAGACUCCUGCGGGAGGCAGCAGUGGGGAAUAUUGCACAAUGGGGGGAACCCUGAUGCAGCGACGCCGCGUGGGCGAGGAAGUAUUUCGGUAUGUAAAGCCCUAUCGGCAGGGAAGAAGAAAUGACGGUACCUGAAUAAGAAGCACCGGCUAAAUACGUGCCAGCAGCCGCGGUAAUACGUAUGGUGCAAGCGUUAUCCGGAUUUACUGGGCGUAAAGGGAGCGCAGGCGGCGCGCCAAGUCUGAUGUGAAACCCCGGGGCUCAACCCCGGGCAUGCAUUGGAAACUGGCGGGCUGGAGUGCCG